GACGAACGCUGGCGGCGUGCUUAACACAUGCAAGUCGAACGGAAAGGCCCUGCUUUUGUGGGGUGCUCGAGUGGCGAACGGGUGAGUAACACGUGAGUAACCUGCCCUUGACUUUGGGAUAACUUCAGGAAACUGGGGCUAAUACCGGAUAGGAGCUCCUGCUGCAUGGUGGGGGUUGGAAAGUUUCGGCGGUUGGGGAUGGACUCGCGGCUUAUCAGCUUGUUGGUGGGGUAGUGGCUUACCAAGGCUUUGACGGGUAGCCGGCCUGAGAGGGUGACCGGCCACAUUGGGACUGAGAUACGGCCCAGACUCCUACGGGAGGCAGCAGUGGGGAAUAUUGCACAAUGGGCAGAAGCCUGAUGCAGCAACGCCGCGUGCGGGAUGACGGCCUUCGGGUUGUAAACCGCUUUCGCCUGUGACGAAGCGUGAGUGACGGUAAUGGGUAAAGAAGCGCCGGCUAACUACGUG
Molecule: ribosomal RNA, 468 nt
Filed under: uncultured bacterium
Lineage: Bacteria
Description: partial 16S ribosomal RNA
Rfam family: Bacterial small subunit ribosomal RNA
Source: RNAcentral